UACGGAGGGGGCUAGCGUUGUUCGGAAUUACUGGGCGUAAAGCGCACGUAGGCGGCUUUGUAAGUCAGAGGUGAAAGCCUGGAGCUCAACUCCAGAACUGCCUUUGAGACUGCAUCGCUUGAAUCCAGGAGAGGUCAGUGGAAUUCCGAGUGUAGAGGUGAAAUUCGUAGAUAUUCGGAAGAACACCAGUGGCGAAGGCGGCUGACUGGACUGGUAUUGACGCUGAGGUGCGAAAGCGUGGGGAGCAAACAGGAUUAGAUACCCCCGUAGUCC
Molecule: ribosomal RNA, 273 nt
Filed under: uncultured bacterium
Lineage: Bacteria
Description: partial 16S ribosomal RNA
Rfam family: Bacterial small subunit ribosomal RNA
Source: RNAcentral